AUGACAGUGGCAGGAGACACUGGGACGUCAAAAGGCAAAGAUGCAGAUGAUGUUGACUAUGGAGACUUUGCUCUCUGGGCCUCCACUGAUGAAGGUAAUCCAGAACAGGCAUCUCUUGCUUCUAAUGGGAGUGCUCCAGAGUGGGUUCUCGACUCUGGAGCAUCUAAGCAUGUUGCUAGUAAAUCUUGCGUGUUUGAGUCUUACACUAAGCACCCUCAGUCUCACACGGGCACUAUGCAAACUGCUGAUGGCACAAACCAGCCUGUCGUAGGGGUUGGCACAGUCAAGUGCGCUCCGACCAUCUCCCUAUCCUCGGUUUUACAUGUGCCAGCUUUUCCUGUCAAUUUGGUCUUCUUUAGUGCCCUAAUUGAUCAAAUUGACUGUCGUGUGAUCCUUGACAAAUUUGGUUGCGUGAUUCAGGAGCGACAGACAAGCCAGACAGUUGGGACUGGCACCAGGCGUAGGGGGCUCUAG
This 474-nucleotide ribosomal RNA is filed under the name Triticum aestivum (bread wheat). Its description in RNAcentral is "partial small subunit ribosomal RNA". The record is from RNAcentral. Lineage: Eukaryota; Viridiplantae; Streptophyta; Magnoliopsida; Poales; Poaceae.